GUUUUGCUUAAAAAGUUUGAGCACAUGCAUCACUUUGCGUGAGAAAAGGGUGCCGGUUUCACUGGGUGUGGAUGUGAGGGCGGCUCUUAGCGAGCGCCGAUUCACUAAUGAUCCUUCCGCAGGUUCACCUACGGAAA
Molecule: unclassified non-coding RNA, 137 nt
Filed under: uncultured fungus
Lineage: Eukaryota; Fungi
Description: sequence contains ITS1
Source: RNAcentral